CUCUCGCCGGACAUUCCUAAUGGUUAGCGCCCAGCCUGUGAAGAGUCGGGGGUCGGGGAGGGGGUCUCGCUAAGAAGGAGGUUUGCAGACCAUGGCAAAGGUUGGAGAAAGUUAUAUGUACAAACCUGUCUUUGCUAAGCUCUUCCAGGGCGGAUCGAUGCUCACCUCUGUAUAGCUUCUAAGUACCUAAUACGCGUUGAUGGAAUGAAUGAUGGAAUGAUUGAAGGCUGAGGGAGUAUUACAAAAUUAGUAGGUCAGCGCCUCGUGUCUAAAGGGCUCACAUGCAGCAUGAAUGCAGGAAGCUUCUGGACAUUCCUUUUUUAGUUAUCUCCCAUCCCCUUUGCUUGAUAACGUAUGCGUAGUAUCAAAAAUAAUUAAGGGCCGGGCGCGGUGGCUCACACCUGUAAUCCCAGCACCUUGGGAGGCCGAGGUGGGUGGAUCACUUGAGGCUAGGAGUUUUGAGACUAGCCUGGGCAACAUGGCGAAACCCCGUCUCUACUAAAAACACAAAAAUUAGCAGGGGGUGGUGACGGGCGCCUGAAGUCCCAGCUACUCGGGAGGCUGAGGUGGGAGAAUCACCUGAGCCCGGGGUUGACGGUGAGACUGCAGUGAGCCGAGAUCGCGCCACUACACUCCAGCCUGGGCAACCGGAGUGAGACCCUGCCUCAAAAAUAAUAAUAACAAUAAUAAUAAUAAUAAUAAUGAAACUACAUGAAACACAUACUCGUUUUACUCUCAACUGCUCUCAAACGAAAACUUGGAGCAAAUGAUUGCUAAUGUUAAAUUUCAUGGAAUUCUUUGGGGGAGCAAAUGGAGUAGUGGCUUCAAAAGAAGAAAAACUGAAGCCAGCCUAGCAGGGAUCACGGAAUAGUAGACAGAUUUAAAACACAUGCCAAGAAGCAAGGUGAAAGAGAUGAGGUAGAUUAAUACAUUUAUAAAUGUCCCAGGGAAGAGGAGAGGAG
This 962-nucleotide long non-coding RNA is filed under the name Homo sapiens (human). RNAcentral's name for it is "non-protein coding lnc-DTX3L-1:2". Lineage: Eukaryota; Metazoa; Chordata; Mammalia; Primates; Hominidae. The record is from RNAcentral.